GUUUAUAUGGAAUUCUUGGAUGUGAGGCGUGUAUGAAACUUGCAAUAUUGAACUUUUAGACUUUGACGGUUGAAGUUCUCAAUCAUUUGCUGCAAACCCUUAGUCAUUCGUCGUGCCUGUCAUCGCUUUUUAAGUCAGCUGAAGGAAACUCUGAGGUACAGGAAGCUCGCCAAACAGGCGAGAUUUAUAUGCGUUACACCAGGGGGCCCUGAGACACGUGUGUACGAUCUUACGUAACGGCAGCAUUUCGUUUCCAAGUCCAGGGUAAUGACGGAGCUGCCAAGCGAGCAAAGAGGUCUCUGCUGCCUUACAGAGAAAUUCUCAGCGGUACGACGCCAGACUUCCGGAACUUGGGCAGGGACGUAAAACCGGAAGAGAGGGUCCCCGACAUCACAAACAGCUCGGACGACUACGAGGAAGCGUUGAUGAAGCCCGUCGAACUCGGACCCCUGAGACAACGUGAGCGAAAACCAUGGGGCCAGGGGAGGCCCAAGUCAAGACCAAAACAGUGAUGACACGACAAGACCGGGACUAAAUUUCCGGGCGUCCUGGAAUAGCGAGCGUCAGAGACACCGUUGAAUGAAUAAAUAAAUACUUUAUUAGGUUAGGAGUGCUCCUUCACCUAAAUGUAGAAGAGUUAACACAAUAAAGGGGAUCAGAGUGAGAUCUCUGGAAUAAGCCUUCGCAGGUGUAUCCAAAUUAAAAAACAUAGUGGCACCUUCACGCAAAGGGCGAACUAUGCGCUGGCACCAACAGCAAAGUUGUUUAGCGUUACG
RNAcentral lists this long non-coding RNA (776 nucleotides) under Dermacentor andersoni. Its description in RNAcentral is "uncharacterized LOC126533737". The record is from RNAcentral. Lineage: Eukaryota; Metazoa; Arthropoda; Arachnida; Ixodida; Ixodidae.